UCGAGCGAGAAGCCACCUUCGGGUGGUGGGAAGCGGCGGACGGGUGAGUAAGGCGUGGGAAUAUGCCCUUUGGUACGGAAUAGCCCUUGGAAACGAGGCGUAAUACCGUAUGUGCCCUACGGGGGAAAGAUUUAUCGCCAAAGGAUUAGCCCACGUUGGAUUAGCUAGUUGGUGAGGUAAAGGCUCACCAAGGCAACGAUCUAUAGCUGGUUUGAGAGGAUGAUCAGCCACACUGGGACUGAGACACGGCCCAGACUCCUACGGGAGGCAGCAGUGGGGAAUAUUAGACAAUGGGCGCAAGCCUGAUCUAGCCAUGCCGCGUGAGUGAAGAAGGCCCUAGGGUUGUAAAGCUCUUUCAGAUGUGAGGAUGAUGACAGUAACAUCAGAAGAAGCCCCGGCUAACUUCGUGCCAGCAGCCGCGGUAAUACGAAGGGGGCUAGCGUUGUUCGGAAUUACUGGGCGUAAAGGGCGCGUAGGCGGACUGGUCAGUUUGGUGUGAAAGCCCGGGGCUCAACCUCGGAACUGCAUUGAAUACUGCCAGUCUAGAAUCCCGGAGGGGAGUGUGGAAUUUCU
This 573-nucleotide ribosomal RNA is filed under the name uncultured bacterium. RNAcentral describes it as "bacterial SSU rRNA". It matches the Rfam family "Bacterial small subunit ribosomal RNA", at positions 62 to 671 of the family's 1533-position model. The record is from RNAcentral.